UCACGUUUGGCAGCUCCACGUCGACAUUCUUCCAGCUGCAGACUGAACUGCACAGGGCUGUUAGAAGAAGUAAAGGCGACGUGUAGGCACCUUACAAAUAGUGUACUGCAGGUUCCAAAGAAGGACGUCAACCGCUAAAUGAAGCCAAGAAAACGACAGUCUUUCUUGAUAAUUUGUUCAGUAUCCUUCACAGCCUGCUGCUUUUGCAUUUUAUGAUCCAUUUGCCCUCGUGCUGGAUUGCAGCUGGCCCCAUUUAACUGCUUCCACUUCUCUCAGGAGGUCGUGGCUGGAGGGAGAGAGUGAAAGUCCAUUCAAGUCUCCACCAACAGAAUCGCAGGUAAAUGAGUGGUGGAGCUGGUCGGCACACUGGAGUAACCUGUGAUGUGGCACUAUGGCUUUCCAAGUAAAGUUCUGUGGUACACUUAGACUCUGGUUGUUUGCAGUCAGUGCAUUACAGAACUUUGUUUUGGGAGUUUGGUUCUGGCCUGAGGGAUACAAAAAACAUCUGGACAGUGACGAAAUAAUUCACAAGCGACACACAUCGUUGUGUUUCGGAGUUGUUCUUCUGAGAAUAAAGUUUGGUGCCCGGUUGGUUCCCAUGUGUUUACAUUUGCAUUAAUUAUGACAAUAAAGACACAGAAGUCUAAAUGUCCAAACUACACUAUUGUUGCACUACAGUUGGGAUGAAAGUUGCAGUUGUAGAAUGCCUUUGAAGAAUGUUGCAUCAUAUUUAGUAAGAACACACAGAACCAUAUGGACUCAGCAGUCCUGCAUGACUCAACAGAGCGGUGCGAUGGAAAGGUAAACACAACCACUUGGCUAAAGCUACUUUGUCGUGCUAACCCUACAGUGUAAGGUAAAGGUUGGUGUGUGUGUGUGGUUUGUGGUUGUACAAACCUAAAUGUCACGUUUCCAAUUUAGUUGUUUCAUAAUGUUCUCUGGUGCCUUUGAAUUUUUGUGUGAAUGCUGACCGAUGUUCUCUGAUGUUUGAACUAAUGGAAUAAUUAAAUAAAGCUUG
Molecule: long non-coding RNA, 1018 nt
Organism: Hypomesus transpacificus
Lineage: Eukaryota; Metazoa; Chordata; Actinopteri; Osmeriformes; Osmeridae
Exons: 3
Source: RefSeq, a predicted model, not a curated record